AGUGAACGCUGGCGGUAGGCCUAACACAUGCAAGUCGAACGGCAGCACAGUAAGAGCUUGCUCUUACGGGUGGCGAGUGGCGGACGGGUGAGGAAUACAUCGGAAUCUACUUUUUCGUGGGGGAUAACGUAGGGAAACUUACGCUAAUACCGCAUACGACCUACGGGUGAAAGCAGGGGAUCUUCGGACCUUGCGCGAUUGAAUGAGCCGAUGUCGGAUUAGCUAGUUGGCGGGGUAAAGGCCCACCAAGGCGACGAUCCGUAGCUGGUCUGAGAGGAUGAUCAGCCACACUGGAACUGAGACACGGUCCAGACUCCUACGGGAGGCAGCAGUGGGGAAUAUUGGACAAUGGGCGCAAGCCUGAUCCAGCCAUACCGCGUGGGUGAAGAAGGCCUUCGGGUUGUAAAGCCCUUUUGUUGGGAAAGAAAAGCAGCAGGUUAAUACCCCGCUGUUCUGAUGGUGCCCAAAGAAUAAGCACCGGCUAACUUCGUG
RNAcentral lists this ribosomal RNA (492 nucleotides) under uncultured bacterium. Its description in RNAcentral is "partial 16S ribosomal RNA". It matches the Rfam family "Bacterial small subunit ribosomal RNA", at positions 29 to 507 of the family's 1533-position model. The record is from RNAcentral.